RNAcentral lists this ribosomal RNA (460 nucleotides) under uncultured bacterium. RNAcentral's name for it is "partial 16S ribosomal RNA". It matches the Rfam family "Bacterial small subunit ribosomal RNA", at positions 338 to 795 of the family's 1533-position model. The record is from RNAcentral.
CCUACGGGUGGCAGCAGUGAGGAAUAUUGGUCAAUGGCCGUAAGGCUGAACCAGCCAAGUAGCGUGAGGGAAGACUGCCCUAUGGGUUGUAAACCUCUUUUAUGCGGGGAUACAGGUGUCCACGUGUGGAUGUUUGCAGGUACCGCAUGUAUAAGGACCGGCUAAUUCCGUGCCAGCAGCCGCGGUAAUACGGAGGGUGCGAGCGUUAAUCGGAAUUACUGGGCGUAAAGCGCUCGUAGGCGGUAUGUCAAGUCAAGGGUGAAAUCCCCGCGCUCAACGUGGGAACUGCCUUUGAAACUGGCAAACUGGAGUGUGUGAGAGGAGAGUGGAAUUCCAGGUGUAGGAGUGAAAUCCGGAGAUAUCUGGAGGAACACCAGUGGCGAAGGCGACUAUCUGGCACAUAACUGACGCUGAGGAGCGAAAGCGUGGGUAGCAAACAGGAUUAGAUACCCGAGUAGUC